Molecule: ribosomal RNA, 216 nt
Filed under: Glomeromycotina sp.
Lineage: Eukaryota; Fungi; Glomeromycota
Description: partial small subunit ribosomal RNA
Rfam family: Eukaryotic small subunit ribosomal RNA (bases 75-216)
Source: RNAcentral
GGGUCAGUAGGUUGGUCGUGCCACCGGUACGUACUGGUCUCACUGAUUCCUCCUUCCUGAAGAACCGUAACGCCAUUAAUUUGGUGUUGCGGGGAAACAGGACUGUUACUUUGAAAAAGUUAGAGUGUUUAAAGCAAGCUAACGCUUGAAUACAUUAGCAUGGAAUAAUGAAAUAGGACGAUCGAUCCUAUUUUGUUGGUUUCUAGGAUUGACGUA